RNAcentral lists this ribosomal RNA (245 nucleotides) under uncultured Veillonellaceae bacterium. RNAcentral describes it as "partial 16S ribosomal RNA". It matches the Rfam family "Bacterial small subunit ribosomal RNA", at positions 796 to 1041 of the family's 1533-position model. Lineage: Bacteria; Bacillati; Bacillota; Negativicutes; Veillonellales; Veillonellaceae. The record is from RNAcentral.
CACGCCGUAAACGAUGGGUACUAGGUGUAGGUGGUUUCGAUACCAUCUGUGCCGGAGUUAACGCAAUAAGUACCCCGCCUGGGGAGUACGUGCGCAAGCAUGAAACUCAAAGGAAUUGACGGGGGCCCGCACAAGCGGUGGAGCAUGUGGUUUAAUUCGACGCAACGCGAAGAACCUUACCAGGCCUUGACAUCCCCUGACCGUCAUGGAAACAUGGCUUCUCUUCGGAGCAGGGAGACAGGUGG